This 504-nucleotide ribosomal RNA is filed under the name uncultured bacterium. Its description in RNAcentral is "partial 16S ribosomal RNA". It matches the Rfam family "Bacterial small subunit ribosomal RNA", at positions 30 to 523 of the family's 1533-position model. The record is from RNAcentral.
AUUGAACGCUGGCGGCAGGCCCAACACAUGCAAGUCGAACGGUAGCACAGAGAGCUUGCUCUUGGGCGACGAGUGGCGGACGGGUGAGUAAUGUCUGGGAAACUGCCCGAUGGAGGGGGAUAACUACUGGAAACGGUAGCUAAUACCGCAUAACGUCGCAAGACCUAAGUGGGGGACCUUCGGGCCUCACACCAUCGGAUGUGCCCAGAUGGGAUUAGCUAGUUGGUGAGGUAAUGGCUCACCAAGGCGACGAUCCCUAGCUGGUCUGAGAGGAUGACCAGCCACACUGGAACUGAGACACGGUCCAGACUCCUACGGGAGGCAGCAGUGGGGAAUAUUGCACAAUGGGCGCAAGCCUGAUGCAGCCAUGCCGCGUGUAUGAAGAAGGCCUUCGGGUUGUAAAGUACUUUCAGCGAGGAGGAAGGCAUUGUGGUUAAUAACCGCAGUGAUUGACGUUACUCGCAGAAGAAGCACCGGCUAACUCCGUGCCAGCAGCCGCCGUAA